RNAcentral lists this ribosomal RNA (1370 nucleotides) under uncultured bacterium. RNAcentral describes it as "16S ribosomal RNA". It matches the Rfam family "Bacterial small subunit ribosomal RNA", at positions 28 to 1381 of the family's 1533-position model. The record is from RNAcentral.
GAUAAACGCUGGCGGCGUGCCUAAUACAUGCAAGUCGAGCGAACGGACGAGAAGCUUGCUUCUCUGAUGUUAGCGGCGGACGGGUGAGUAACACGUGGAUAACCUACCUAUAAGACUGGGAUAACUUCGGGAAACCGGAGCUAAUACCGGAUAAUAUUUUGAACCGCAUGGUUCAAAAGUGAAAGACGGUCUUGCUGUCACUUAUAGAUGGAUCCGCGCUGCAUUAGCUAGUUGGUAAGGUAACGGCUUACCAAGGCAACGAUGCAUAGCCGACCUGAGAGGGUGAUCGGCCACACUGGAACUGAGACACGGUCCAGACUCCUACGGGAGGCAGCAGUAGGGAAUCUUCCGCAAUGGGCGAAAGCCUGACGGAGCAACGCCGCGUGAGUGAUGAAGGUCUUCGGAUCGUAAAACUCUGUUAUUAGGGAAGAACAUAUGUGUAAGUAACUGUGCACAUCUUGACGGUACCUAAUCAGAAAGCCACGGCUAACUACGUGCCAGCAGCCGCGGUAAUACGUAGGUGGCAAGCGUUAUCCGGAAUUAUUGGGCGUAAAGCGCGCGUAGCGGUUUUUUAGUCUGAUGUGAAAGCCCACGGCUCAACCGUGGAGGGUCAUUGGAAACUGGAAAACUUGAGUGCAGAAGAGGAAAGUGGAAUUCCAUGUGUAGCGGUGAAGUGCGCAGAGAUAUGGAGGAACACCAGUGGCGAAGGCGACUUUCUGGUCUGUAACUGACGCUGAUGUGCGAAAGCGUGGGGAUCAAACAGGAUUAGAUACCCUGGUAGUCCACGCCGUAAACGAUGAGUGCUAAGUGUUAGGGGGUUUCCGCCCCUUAGUGCUGCAGCUAACGCAGUAAGCACUCCGCCUGGGGAGUACGACCGCAAGGUUGAAACUCAAAGGAAUUGACGGGGACCCGCACAAGCGGUGGAGCAUGUGGUUUAAUUCGAAGCAACGCGAAGAACCUUACCAAAUCUUGACAUCCUUUGACAACUCUAGAGAUAGAGCCUUCCCCUUCGGGGGACAAAGUGACAGGUGGUGCAUGGUUGUCGUCAGCUCGUGUCGUGAGAUGUUGGGUUAAGUCCCGCAACGAGCGCAACCCUUAAGCUUAGUUGCCAUCAUUAAGUUGGGCACUCUAAGUUGACUGCCGGUGACAAACCGGAGGAAGGUGGGGAUGACGUCAAAUCAUCAUGCCCCUUAUGAUUUGGGCUACACACGUGCUACAAUGGACAAUACAAAGGGCAGCGAAACCGCGAGGUCAAGCAAAUCCCAUAAAGUUGUUCUCAGUUCGGAUUGUAGUCUGCAACUCGACUACAUGAAGCUGGAAUCGCUAGUAAUCGUAGAUCAGCAUGCUACGGUGAAUACGUUCCCGGGUCU